Long non-coding RNA from Notothenia coriiceps (black rockcod), 550 nucleotides. RefSeq lists it as uncharacterized. NCBI's taxonomy places the organism in Eukaryota, Metazoa, Chordata, Actinopteri, Perciformes, Nototheniidae. The record is from RefSeq and is a predicted model, not a curated record. The transcript has 3 exons.
GGUGGAUGUGAAGCUAGCGGCGGAGAUUAAACUGUUACGUUUAUGUUCAUAUUUGUUGGCACGCCGUCCACACGGGAUGAAGUCCAUCCAAAAUCUUCGCUGUUGUGCAUAUGCCUUGACAAGACUAACAGUAAAGGAGAGCGAUGUCCCCACCAGCAGUUAAAUUCCUGGACAAGAUAAACCUCCAGGCAGAAAUAAAGGUGUAAGGACAACAGACGGCGGAAAGCGCUUCCACUGCAAGCCGGUGUGUGUGGUCAUUUGUGUGUGUGUGUGUGUGUUUAUGGUUGUGUAUGUUUAUGAGUGAGUGGCACAGCAGCUGGGGGUUGUAACGUGAUGCCAAGAUGCUGCUGUCUCUGGGAAUGCUGAUGCUUUCGGCCACACAGAUUUACACCAUCUUCACCGUUCAGCUCUUCGCCUUCCUCAACCUGCUGCCCGUGGGGGCCGACAUCGCAGCUUACUCAUUUGACAACAAGACUGAUAACUUUGAUGACCUGCCUGCACGGUUUGGUUAUCGGCUACCCAGCGAUGGACUGAAGGUGAGUGCUGGAGG